GGUCUCUUCUGGAGCAAAACCAGUAAACAAGCACACGCAGGUCAUGUCACGUGUGACCUAUGGAGAACAGGAAGGCAGGGCAUGGGAAAAGGGGCUCUGCGUAUUGGAGUGAGGGCCUUUUCCACAGCAUGCUCAGAGUUGGCCUCUCUAUUCAGGGACACUUGAGCAGAGACCGGAAGGCAGUGAGGCCAUGAGCCACAGCAGGCAUCGUGGGGAAGCGACCCAGGCAGGGGGGCAGGUAGACAUGAAGGACUGGGUGGGGGCGAGUUGGCACAACUGGGAACAGCAAGAGGCCGGUGUGGCUGGAGUGGGAUGAAUGAGGAGGGGAGAUGGUUGGGCAUGAGGUCAGAGAGACCACUGUAAACUGAACGUUGUGUCCCCCCACAAAAUUCAUAUAUUGAAACCUAGUCCCCAGUGUGAUGGCUGGAGGUUAAGCCUUUGGAAGGUGAUCAGGUCAUGAGGGCAGAGCCAUUAGGAAUGACAUUAGUGCUCUUAUGAAAGGGGACCCAGAGAGCUUCCUCGCCCCUUCCUCUGUGUGAAAACACAAUAAUGCCCAUCUAUGAACAAGAGGGCCCUCCUCAGACACUAAAGUUGCUGGUGCCUUGGUCUUGGACUUCCCAGUCUCCAGAACUGUAAGAAAUACAUACAUUUCUGUCGUUUAUAAGCUGCCCAGUCUGUGGUGGUUUUUUUUGUAGCAGCCUGAGCAGACUAAGACCAACAGUCUCAAGUUCAGGGUCAAGGUCCAGGCUAGGGAUACAAUUUGCAAAUCAAUACUAUAUUGAUAGCAUUGGAAGUUACAGGACUGGGAGAGAUGACACAGGGAGGCAGUGCAGGUAGAGCAAAGGUCUGAUGAAUGAGCAUUCCAGGAUUUAUUUAGAGCAGAUGAGAGGAAACCAGCACAAGAUACUGAGAAGGAAUAGGUAGUGAGCUAAAAGGAGAAAUCAAAAAGUGAUCCAGGAAGGAGGAUCCAAAAGUGAUCCAAAGAAAGUCAUCCAGGAAGGAGGGAAUGAGCUACGGGCAAAUGCUGCAGAUAGAUCAAGUAUAAUGAGGACUGAGAAUUGACCAUAGAACAGUGACUGGCACAUAGUAGGUGGUCAACAAAUAUUUGUAGAAUGAAUGAACGUCUUAUAAUGAUCAGAUCACAAUUAUUAUCUAUUACAAAUGUUAUUUAGUAUUGAUUAUCAUCAGUGACCUUCAUAAGAGCUUUUUGUUGAGUGGUGGCAGCUAAAAGAUAAGUGGAGUGGGUUCAAGAGAGGAUAGAGAUGAGAAACUGGAGACAGAAAGUAUAAACAUGCAUUUAAAAAAUAAAUUUGCUGCAAAGACAAUCAAAGAAUUGGAACAGGCCAAAUGCAGUGGCUCACGCCUGCUAUCCCUUUAGGGGGAGGCAGGAGGAUUGCUUGAGCCCAGGAGUUCAAGACCAGCCUGGACAAUGUAGCAAGACCCCAUCUCUCAAAAAAAAAUUUAAAAAUUAGCCAGGUAUGGUAGUAUGCAACUGUAGUAGCUACUUUGGAGGUUGAUGAAGGAGAAUCACUUGAGCCCAGGAGUUCAAGGCUACAGGGCUACAGUGAGCUAUGGUUGUGCCACUGCACUCCAGCCUGGGUGACAGGGCAAGAUCCUAUCUCUAAAAAAAAAAAAAGAAAAAGAAAAGAAAAG
Molecule: long non-coding RNA, 1653 nt
Organism: Macaca fascicularis (crab-eating macaque)
Lineage: Eukaryota; Metazoa; Chordata; Mammalia; Primates; Cercopithecidae
Source: Ensembl